This 301-nucleotide ribosomal RNA is filed under the name uncultured bacterium. Its description in RNAcentral is "partial 16S ribosomal RNA". It matches the Rfam family "Bacterial small subunit ribosomal RNA", at positions 509 to 807 of the family's 1533-position model. The record is from RNAcentral.
CAGCCGCCGCGGUAAAACGGAGGGGGCUAGCGUUGUUCGGAAUUACUGGGCGCAAAGCGCACGUAGGCGGCUUUGUAAGUUAGAGGUGAAAGCCCGGAGCUCAACUCCGGAAUUGCCUUUAAGACUGCAGAGCUAGCAGGUGAGAGAGGUGAGUGGAAUUCCGAGUGUAGAGGUGAAAUUCGUAGAUAUUCGGAAGAACACCAGUGGCGAAGGCGGCUCACUGGACCAUAACUGACGCUGAGGCGCGAAAGCUAGGGGAGCAAACAGGAUUAGAUACCCGAGUAGUCCCUGUCUCUUAUAC